RNAcentral lists this ribosomal RNA (2722 nucleotides) under Enterobacter cloacae. Its description in RNAcentral is "bacterial LSU rRNA". It matches the Rfam family "Bacterial large subunit ribosomal RNA". Lineage: Bacteria; Pseudomonadati; Pseudomonadota; Gammaproteobacteria; Enterobacterales; Enterobacteriaceae. The record is from RNAcentral.
AGCGUACACGGUGGAUGCCCUGGCAGUCAGAGGCGAUGAAGGACGUGCUAAUCUGCGAAAAGCGCCGGCGAGGUGAUAUGAACCUUUGACCCGGCGAUGUCCGAAUGGGGAAACCCAGUGCAAUCCGUUGCACUAUCGUUAACUGAAUACAUAGGUUAACGAGGCGAACCGGGGGAACUGAAACAUCUAAGUACCCCGAGGAAAAGAAAUCAACCGAGAUUCCCCCAGUAGCGGCGAGCGAACGGGGAGCAGCCCGGAGUCUGAAUCAGCUUGUGUGUUAGUGGAACGGUCUGGAAAGUCCGACGGUACAGGGUGAUAGUCCCGUACACGAAAGCACACAUGCUGUGAACUCGAAGAGUAGGGCGGGACACGUGGUAUCCUGUCUGAAUAUGGGGGGACCAUCCUCCAAGGCUAAAUACUCCUGACUGACCGAUAGUGAACCAGUACCGUGAGGGAAAGGCGAAAAGAACCCCGGCGAGGGGAGUGAAAAAGAACCUGAAACCGUGUACGUACAAGCAGUGGGAGCCUCUUUAUGGGGUGACUGCGUACCUUUUGUAUAAUGGGUCAGCGACUUAUAUUCUGUAGCAAGGUUAACCGUAUAGGGGAGCCGAAGGGAAACCGAGUCUUAACUGGGCGUUAAGUUGCAGGGUAUAGACCCGAAACCCGGUGAUCUAGCCAUGGGCAGGUUGAAGGUUGGGUAACACUAACUGGAGGACCGAACCGACUAAUGUUGAAAAAUUAGCGGAUGACCUGUGGCUGGGGGUGAAAGGCCAAUCAAACCGGGAGAUAGCUGGUUCUCCCCGAAAGCUAUUUAGGUAGCGCCUCGUGAACUCAUCUUCGGGGGUAGAGCACUGUUUCGGCUAGGGGGCCAUCCCGGCUUACCAACCCGAUGCAAACUACGAAUACCGAAGAAUGUUAUCACGGGAGACACACGGCGGGUGCUAACGUCCGUCGUGAAGAGGGAAACAACCCAGACCGCCAGCUAAGGUCCCAAAGUCAUGGUUAAGUGGGAAACGAUGUGGGAAGGCACAGACAGCCAGGAUGUUGGCUUAGAAGCAGCCAUCAUUUAAAGAAAGCGUAAUAGCUCACUGGUCGAGUCGGCCUGCGCGGAAGAUGUAACGGGGCUAAACCAUGCACCGAAGCUGCGGCAGCGACACUAUGUGUUGUUGGGUAGGGGAGCGUUCUGUAAGCCGUUGAAGGUGUCCUGUGAGGGGUGCUGGAGGUAUCAGAAGUGCGAAUGCUGACAUAAGUAACGAUAAAGCGGGUGAAAAGCCCGCUCGCCGGAAGACCAAGGGUUCCUGUCCAACGUUAAUCGGGGCAGGGUGAGUCGACCCCUAAGGCGAGGCCGAAAGGCGUAGUCGAUGGGAAACAGGUUAAUAUUCCUGUACUUGGUGUUACUGCGAAGGGGGGACGGAGAAGGCUAUGUCAGCCGGGCGACGGUUGUCCCGGUUUAAGCAUGUAGGCGGAGGUUCCAGGUAAAUCCGGUACCUUAUUAACGCUGAGGUGUGAUGACGAGGCACUACGGUGCUGAAGUGAUAAAUGCCCUGCUUCCAGGAAAAGCCUCUAAGCAUCAGGUAACACGAAAUCGUACCCCAAACCGACACAGGUGGUCAGGUAGAGAAUACCAAGGCGCUUGAGAGAACUCGGGUGAAGGAACUAGGCAAAAUGGUGCCGUAACUUCGGGAGAAGGCACGCUGAUAUGUAGGUGAAGUCCCUGCGGACGGAGCUGAAAUCAGUCGAAGAUACCAGCUGGCUGCAACUGUUUAUUAAAAACACAGCACUGUGCAAACACGAAAGUGGACGUAUACGGUGUGACGCCUGCCCGGUGCCGGAAGGUUAAUUGAUGGGGUUAGCGGCAACGCGAAGCUCUUGAUCGAAGCCCCGGUAAACGGCGGCCGUAACUAUAACGGUCCUAAGGUAGCGAAAUUCCUUGUCGGGUAAGUUCCGACCUGCACGAAUGGCGUAAUGAUGGCCAGGCUGUCUCCACCCGAGACUCAGUGAAAUUGAACUCGCUGUGAAGAUGCAGUGUACCCGCGGCAAGACGGAAAGACCCCGUGAACCUUUACUAUAGCUUGACACUGAACACUGGUCCUUGAUGUGUAGGAUAGGUGGGAGGCUUUGAAGCGUGGACGCCAGUCUGCGUGGAGCCAACCUUGAAAUACCACCCUUUAAUGGCUGGUGUUCUAACGUAGACCCGUAAUCCGGGUUGCGGACAGUGUCUGGUGGGUAGUUUGACUGGGGCGGUCUCCUCCCAAAGAGUAACGGAGGAGCACGAAGGUUGGCUAAUCCUGGUCGGACAUCAGGAGGUUAGUGCAAUGGCAUAAGCCAGCUUGACUGCGAGCGUGACGGCGCGAGCAGGUGCGAAAGCAGGUCAUAGUGAUCCGGUGGUUCUGAAUGGAAGGGCCAUCGCUCAACGGAUAAAAGGUACUCCGGGGAUAACAGGCUGAUACCGCCCAAGAGUUCAUAUCGACGGCGGUGUUUGGCACCUCGAUGUCGGCUCAUCACAUCCUGGGGCUGAAGUAGGUCCCAAGGGUAUGGCUGUUCGCCAUUUAAAGUGGUACGCGAGCUGGGUUUAGAACGUCGUGAGACAGUUCGGUCCCUAUCUGCCGUGGGCGCUGGAGAAUUGAGGGGGGCUGCUCCUAGUACGAGAGGACCGGAGUGGACGCAUCACUGGUGUUCGGGUUGUCAUGCCAAUGGCACUGCCCGGUAGCUAAAUGCGGAA